GGGAACGUGGCUCAGUGGCAGAGUGCUUGCCUGCCAUGCAUCAGGCCCUGGGCUCAAUCCCCAGCAUUACAA
This 72-nucleotide transfer RNA is filed under the name Ictidomys tridecemlineatus (thirteen-lined ground squirrel). RNAcentral describes it as "Spermophilus tridecemlineatus (thirteen-lined ground squirrel) tRNA". It matches the Rfam family "tRNA". From Rfam's summary of the family: Transfer RNA (tRNA) molecules are approximately 80 nucleotides in length. Their secondary structure includes four short double-helical elements and three loops (D, anti-codon, and T loops). Lineage: Eukaryota; Metazoa; Chordata; Mammalia; Rodentia; Sciuridae. The record is from Rfam by way of RNAcentral.